AUGCAGUCGAGGGGCAGCACUGGGUAGCAAUACCCUGGUGGCGACCGGCGCACGGGUGAGUAACACGUGUGCAACCAACCCCGUACCGGGAGAUAACCCGCGGAAACGUGGACUAACAUCCCAUGACACUCGAGAGCCGCAUGGCUCUAGAUUUAAAAUUCCGGUGGUACGGGACGGGCACGCGCGACAUUAGGUAGUUGGCGGGGUAACGGCCCACCAAGCCGACGAUGUCUAGGGGUUCUGAGAGGAAGGUCCCCCACACUGGAACUGAGACACGGUCCAGACUCCUACGGGAGGCAGCAGUGAGGAAUAUUGGUCAAUGGGCGAGAGCCUGAACCAGCCAAGUCGCGUGAGGGAAGAAUGGUCUAUGGCCUGUAAACCUCUUUUGUCAGGGAAGGAUAAGGAUGACGAGUCAUUCGAUGCCAGUACUUGACGAAUAAGCAUCGGCUAACUCCGUGCCAGCAGCCGCGGUAAUACGGGGGAUGCGAGCGUUAUCCGGAUUUAUUGGGUUUAAAGGGCGCGUAGGCGGGACGUCAAGUCAGCGGUAAAAGACUGCAGCUAAACUGUAGCACGCCGUUGAAACUGGCGCCCUGAGACGAGACGAGGAGGCGGAACAAGUGAAGUAGCGGUGAAA
RNAcentral lists this ribosomal RNA (634 nucleotides) under uncultured bacterium. Its description in RNAcentral is "bacterial SSU rRNA". It matches the Rfam family "Bacterial small subunit ribosomal RNA", at positions 55 to 686 of the family's 1533-position model. The record is from RNAcentral.